RNAcentral lists this ribosomal RNA (454 nucleotides) under uncultured bacterium. RNAcentral describes it as "bacterial SSU rRNA". It matches the Rfam family "Bacterial small subunit ribosomal RNA", at positions 340 to 786 of the family's 1533-position model. The record is from RNAcentral.
UACGGAAGGCAGCAGUGGGGAAUAUUGCACAAUGGGCGAAAGCCUGAUGCAGCUAUGCCGCGUGUAUGAAGAAGGCCUUAGGGUUGUAAAGUACUUUCAUCGGGGAGGAAAAACAAAACUAAUAAUUUUAUUUCUUGACGUUACCCGAAAAAGAAGCACCGGCUAACUCCGUGCCAGCAGCCGCGGUAAUACGGAGGGUGCUAGCGUUAAUCAGAAUUACUGGGCGUAAAGAGCACGUAGGUGGUUUUUUUAAGUCAGAUGUGAAAUCCCUGGGCUUAACCUAGGAACUGCAUUUUGAAACUGAAAUACUAGAGUAUCGUAGAGGGAGGUAGAAUUCUAGGUGUAGCGGUGAAAUGCGUAGAUAUCUGGAGGAAUACCUGUGGCAAAGCGGCCUCCUAAACGAAUACUGACACUGAGGUGCGAAAGCGUGGGGAGCAAACAGGGAUUAGAUACC